UGGGGAAUAUUGCGCAAUGGGCGAAAGCCUGACGCAGCGACGCCGCGUGAGGGAUGAAGGUUUUCGGAUUGUAAACCUCUGUCAGAAGGGAAGAAACCGCACUGUGCUAAUCAGCAGUGCCUUGACGGUACCUUCAAAGGAAGCACCGGCUAACUCCGUGCCAGCAGCCGCGGUAAUACGGAGGGUGCAAGCGUUAAUCGGAAUUACUGGGCGUACAGCGCACGUAGGCUGCUUUGUAAGUCAGGGGUGAAAUCCCACGGCUCAACCGUGGAACUGCCUUUGAUACUGCUUAGCUUGAAUCCGGGAGAGGGUGGCGGAAUUCCAGGUGUAGGAGUGAAAUCCGUAGAUAUCUGGAGGAACAUCAGUGGCGAAGGCGGCCACCUGGACCGGUAUUGACGCUGAGGUGCGAAAGCGUGGGGAGCAAACAGG
This 429-nucleotide ribosomal RNA is filed under the name Fusobacteriota bacterium. RNAcentral describes it as "Fusobacteria bacterium partial 16S ribosomal RNA". It matches the Rfam family "Bacterial small subunit ribosomal RNA", at positions 355 to 776 of the family's 1533-position model. Lineage: Bacteria; Fusobacteriati; Fusobacteriota. The record is from RNAcentral.